Long non-coding RNA from Oncorhynchus tshawytscha (Chinook salmon), 1057 nucleotides. Lineage: Eukaryota; Metazoa; Chordata; Actinopteri; Salmoniformes; Salmonidae. The record is from Ensembl.
CGCUGGCCUGUGUAGCAUCUACUCAUUACAUUACCACCUAUGAGGAGUACCAGGUGCGAGAGAAGAAGUGAGAUUUUGAGUGGUAUCAGAUCGCUGCUCCAGAUCAGAUCGCAAAAUAGCUGACAAUCACUUAUUACAGUUAUUUCUCGAAGAUCCAGCAUUGCAAAGGAGCAUCCACUAUCUCUGCAUAUAUCCAGAAGUUUUGAGGCCAUUGCAGAGGUGAGGACCACAUACUGCACAGGAAACUGGGACAAUGUUUGCACAGAUGCAUCUUGGGAGUCAAGGUUUAACUGGGUAAAGAAUGGAGCAGAGAGUAAUGUUACCAUUGAGUGGCACAUCCUCCUGUCAGCCCAGACUUUCUCCUACCGGAUCAGACACUUCGGACAAUACAAACAGAGGAAGGGGAUCACAGAUCCUGUGAUUCCAGUGAAUGGGGGUGUGUCAGAGAUCUUCGGAGUCUCCAAAAGAACAUAUUACUAAUAACCGCUGGUCACUGAGUAAGACCAAAUAGGGCACAUUAUAGUGUACACUUCUAGUGACCCGCAUUUGAUGAUGUAUUUAUGUUCUCUAUUUCAAUGCAGUUCAAUGUAUUUACAGCAUUGAAGUACUAAAUGUAUUUAUUUUACCUUUACUAGGCAUGCCAGUUAAGAACAAAUUCUUAUUUUCAAUGACGGCCUAGGAACAGUGGGUUAAGUGCCUGUUCAGGGGCAGAACGACAGAUUUGUACCUUGUCAGCUCGGGGAUAUGAACUUGCAACCUUUCAGUUACUAGUCCAACGCUCUAACCACUAGGCUACCCUGCCGCCCGGGGCGGACCAGUGCUUCAAUACGCAACCGGGCUUUGGGUUGACGGGCAACAAGCCAUUACGCUGAAUGGAGGCUGUGCUCAACAGGAUGAUGGCGGAAAUAUGUUUUGAAUGUAGGGCAGCUUCAGUGCCCUUCCAUAGCUCAUCUCCCAUGGAAAUGAAGAUCAUUUGUUUAUGAUCAGUUGAUUCACGUUUUGUGUGUGUGUGUAAUUAUGUACAGUGCUUAUUUUGAAUAGAAUGACAUGAUUUAAA